AUACGGAGGGUGCAAGCGUUAAUCGGAAUUACUGGGCGUAAAGGGCGCGUAGGCGGUCUAUCAAGUCAGGUGUGAAAUCCCACGGCUCAACCGUGGAGGUGCAUCUGAAACUGAUAGACUUGAGUAUGGGAGAGGAAAGUGGAAUUCCCGGUGUAGAGGUGAAAUUCGUAGAUAUCGGGAGGAACACCAGUGGCGAAGGCGACUUUCUGGACCAAUACUGACGCUGAGGCGCGAAAGCGUGGGGAGCAAACAGAAUUAGAUACCCUAGUAGUCC
This 274-nucleotide ribosomal RNA is filed under the name uncultured bacterium. RNAcentral describes it as "partial 16S ribosomal RNA". It matches the Rfam family "Bacterial small subunit ribosomal RNA", at positions 523 to 796 of the family's 1533-position model. The record is from RNAcentral.